Molecule: long non-coding RNA, 3319 nt
Organism: Nicotiana attenuata
Lineage: Eukaryota; Viridiplantae; Streptophyta; Magnoliopsida; Solanales; Solanaceae
Exons: 6
Source: RefSeq, a predicted model, not a curated record
AUUUGUGUUUUAAUAUAAAAAAAUAAUGUGAGUUUUUGAGAUUUUAUAAACAUGAAAAUGCCCACCUACAUCGAUUGCGAUAUAACUAGUACUAUUUGCGCAUCUUCUUUGGUAUUCCUUCGUCUCAGAUUCAUAUAAUAAAGUUGAUGUAAUUCAAUUUUUGAGAAGUGUGUCUUGGAUAACUUCUGAUGAUACUUCUCGAACUUGUGUGCUAUGGAUUUAUAUAUUAAGAAGAUGAUUUAUUGAGUAUUUGAGGUAAUUUCUUAAUGUAGUUCAGUUAUUUAUGAUGGAAUCAAACUAAAUUAUCUUUUAUCUUUUCUGCUUCUUCCUCGUUUCUUAAUUCACUAAGAAUUUCUCCUCUUUUUACUAAUGUAUUUUUGGCCGUUAUAAUAAUUGUAGAAGAUAAAAGAAUAUCUUGAAUGUUAUGGACAUCCUAAAAAUAAAAGAUAGGAUGUAUUCUGACAGAGUUAGUAAAGAAUACUUGGACGGAGUAGAGGAUUUUUUUAAACCACGCCUUUUUUAAAAAACAAGAUGGAGAAAUUUUUUUAUGUCCUUGUAUGGAAUGUGUGCUUAUCCAUCAAGUAAAACGGGCCACAACAUAUGAUCAUCUUGUGGUUAAUGGGAUUAUGCCUUCAUAUGAUACUUGAUUUUAUCAUGGGGAGUCUCUUAAGGCAUCAAAUAAUACUAAAGUAAAUAAUCGCAACCAAUCAACUUUAAGGGGCGAUGAUAUGAGAGGAAUGAUACAUGAUGUCUUUGGAGACUUUACACAGUUUGUGGAGACUAACGUUAGUGGAAGGGGUCAGAUGGAACCAAACCUACAAGAAAAUACUACUCAUCCAUCUGGAAAUCAUUCAUAUCCAGAGGUGGAUAAGUUUGAACGGCUCAUGAAGGAGGCAAACGAAGAACUAUAUCCUGGAUGCAAGAAGUUUAGCAAACUGUCCUUUUUGCUGCAUAUCUAUCGUACAAAAUGCAUGUUCAAAUUGUCAAACGAAUCUUUUCAAUUGCGAGGCAGAGGUGGUUGAGAAUUAUAAAAAGGAACAUAUUGCUGAAAUCAAGAUAUCACAUCGUAAGCAUCGUUUAACGCAACAUCAACUUGAUCGUGUGCAUUUCUAUACAUUUCAUGAGUGGUUCCAGGAGCAAGUGAAGGAGCUGGAAGCCACGUCUAACAUCUUAAAGGAUGUUAAAGUCCUUGCACAAGGGCCUAGUUUCAUUGCGAAAAGAUUUAAUGCGUUCGAGGUAAAUAACGGGUAUCGUUUUCCAACGAAGUAAAGCGAAGAGUUUAAGGAGACACAAAAUAGUGGUGUUAUGGUCGUUUCAAAAAUUGAAAGUUAUGCAAGUAUAAGUGAUUAAUGGAGUAGUUUUGUCUCUUAUUGGCUUUCUGAUAAAGCUAAGGUAUCAACCUUGAGAAUUCUCCUAGCUCAUAUUCAUAGCGUUUUGAUUUUAGUUAUUCUCAAUUUAUAUUUAUUAUUUAUAAGAUCUCGUUUUAAUAUCAUUGAAUGACACAUACGUACCCAAGCAAAUAGAAAUGAUAGGGCCAAACAAAAGAUGCCUCACACAGGAGGAUCCAAAAGUAUUGCUACCUUGAUGAAUGAGUAGGCUGUAAACGGGAUAGAGCCCUACACGAGCAGAAAUUUUCAUAUUAACUCAUACAAAACGUAAGGAUGGUAUACCACUGGAUGAUGAUUCUGCCAAGACAAUCGUAAGAUUUAUUCUUUCUUUUAUUUAUAAAUUGGGAAACAGAUAGAACAUGAGAAAUAUUGUGGAUUUUGUUCAUGUUUCUUCAUUCACUCAAAGAUAUUAGGCAUCAACUUCCCUGUUGCUAUGGUUGUCGAAAAGAAAAAAUAUUGAUUUUUUCAUGAAUUUGUCCUUUGGGAAUUUGCAUUUGCUGGUGAAUAAAAGAGGCAUCUUCAUGGUUACACAGUUUAAAGAAAUUGGAGCAAUUUGCUACGCACAUGAUCAAUAUUAUUGUUCACUUGGCCAAAUGAACUUCAUUUUUUUUUCGAAGAAGUGAAAGAACCAUUUGUGUUUACAUUAAAUUAAAUAAACUAUAGGUUAGUAACUCUUUCAAUACCAUAAUAGCUUAUGAGAGACAACACCGAAUAUCAAAGAAGAUUAGAAACAAUAGUAUAGUUAAAGAGAUGAAGAAUUUCUGUUACAUUACUAAAUGACAUUACAGAAUACUUUCUAGCAGUGGCCUAUUCUGAUGUUCAAUGGCUGUAGCUAAUGAAAUUGGAGUUCGUGGACAUAGUGCUUGAAGUUAGCUGUUGAUACUUUUAUUUUUUACAUUAAGGAGCUAAAUAUAAUCUUCAUGAAACAUGACUGAAACUUGUUGCAUUUAUAUGGGAAUUUUUGGGUCAUUUGUUAAUUAGGUCACAUGUUAGGUAAUGAAAGGAAUUGAAAUCAGUGAUUUAUGUGCCUAGUUGAGUAUCAUGUCAUCUUGUUAGUCAAUGGGUGCACGGAUUGAACUUUGAAAAAUUAUCUUGCUUAUGGAUUAAGAAUGAAAUUUUCAGUAAUAAAGGUUGAGGUUAAUAUACAGAUUGCUAAGCUAUUUUCAUGUUCAUGAAUUCCAAAAUGGAUCUAUCACUAUGGUCAAGAAAUGAUAAAUGAAAGGAUGAGCAAUAGUGGGAGAUCUAUUGAGCAACCUCCUCGCAGUGUUGCUUGGGAAGGCGAUGUGUAUUCCCAGGUGUUGGGAAAUGAAAAUAGUGGGUAUGUUUGUGCUUUGGGACUUGGUCCAACUCCUUUUGUUCUAUGGGGUAGUAAGUCUUCCAUAGGAAAUACUAUUGCAGAUGAUUCGUCUAAUGAGGUUAUACAAAGGUUAGAACAGGAGAUAAUCGAGUUAAAGGAGAAACAAAAUGAAGAAAUGAAUAUGAUGAAACAAAAUCAGGAGAAGAUGCAACUAGAGCUACUCCAAAUGAGACAAUUCAUGAGCAAAUAUGCUCCUAAUGCAUCUAUGCCUCAAAGUAGCAAUGACACCUCAGUUGAACAUAUCCCUGAUGCCAACAAUGGACAUGAAUGAGUACCACAAACAUCAAAGAUACCUAGUGUUGCUGAAAAUGCUCAACCUUCUCAGGUUUCAGGUCAUAUAGUCUAAUGUUCGAUAAUUUAGCGGGUGGAAGAUUUCAAAAUGAUGGAAAGUGCGGAAAUCAUUUGAACACCAUCGUUCGUCUGGAUUAGUUAUUUAAUGACAUUAGUUAUUUAGUUCAAACAAUAUAAGUUUAUUUUUUAAGUUGCUAUAUUUUUAUUAGUACUUUCUUUUGUUAAGAUUUAAAUAUUAUGUUUUUUUGAAUUAAUAUUAAUAUAUUUUAUUUUUUGGAUCAUA